AUUAGCUGGUUGGUGAGGUAACGGCUCACCAAGGCAACGAUGUCUAGGGGUCCUGAGAGGGUUAUCCCCCACACUGGUACUGAGACACGGACCAGACUCCUACGGGAGGCAGCAGUAAGGAAUAUUGGUCAAUGGGCGCAAGCCUGAACCAGCCAUGCCGCGUGCAGGAAGACGGCCCUAUGGGUUGUAAACUGCUUUUAUCAGGGAAUAAACCCCCGCUCGUGAGCGGGGCUGAAGGUACCUGAGGAAUAAGCAUCGGCUAACUCCGUGCCAGCAGCCGCGGUAAUACGGAGGAUGCAAGCGUUAUCCGGAUUCAUUGGGUUUAAAGGGUGCGCAGGCGGAUUGGUAAGUCAGGGGUGAAAUCCCACAGCUCAACUGUGGAACUGCCUUUGAUACUGUCAGUCUAGAGUAUAGUUGAAGUUGGCGGAAUGUGUCAUGUAGCGGUGAAAUGCUUAGAUAUGACACAGAACACCGAUCGCGAAGGCAGCUAGCUAAGCUAUAACUGACGCUCAUGCACGAAAGCGUGGGGAUCAAACAGGAUUAGAUACCCUGGUAGUCCACGCUGUAAAC
This 570-nucleotide ribosomal RNA is filed under the name uncultured bacterium. Its description in RNAcentral is "bacterial SSU rRNA". It matches the Rfam family "Bacterial small subunit ribosomal RNA", at positions 240 to 807 of the family's 1533-position model. The record is from RNAcentral.